RNAcentral lists this unclassified non-coding RNA (103 nucleotides) under uncultured soil eukaryote. Its description in RNAcentral is "sequence contains ITS2". The record is from RNAcentral.
AACAACUAAACAAAUAAAAUGUGAGAGAAGAUCUCUCAUAAAGUAUAUGCUCCCUGCAGCAGUCACAGCUAUCUGUGAGCUGUAGAGUUGUUAACUGCCUUAU